This 253-nucleotide unclassified non-coding RNA is filed under the name uncultured Solirubrobacteraceae bacterium. RNAcentral describes it as "contains 16S-23S intergenic spacer region". It matches the Rfam family "Bacterial small subunit ribosomal RNA", at positions 524 to 776 of the family's 1533-position model. Lineage: Bacteria; Bacillati; Actinomycetota; Thermoleophilia; Solirubrobacterales; Solirubrobacteraceae. The record is from RNAcentral.
UACGUAGGGGGCAAGCGUUGUCCGGAAUCAUUGGGCGUAAAGCGCGUGUAGGCGGCUUGGUAAGUCAGCUGUGAAAGUCCAGGGCUUAACCCUGGGAUGCCGGUUGAUACUGCCAAGCUCGAGUCCGGAAGAGGCGAGUGGAAUUCCUGGUGUAGCGGUGAAAUGCGCAGAUAUCAGGAGGAACACCAAUGGCGAAGGCAGCUCGCUGGGACGUGACUGACGCUGAGACGCGAAAGCGUGGGGAGCAAACAGG